This 424-nucleotide ribosomal RNA is filed under the name uncultured bacterium. RNAcentral describes it as "partial 16S ribosomal RNA". It matches the Rfam family "Bacterial small subunit ribosomal RNA", at positions 354 to 795 of the family's 1533-position model. The record is from RNAcentral.
GUGGGGGAUAUUGCACAAUGGGGGAAACCCUGAUGCAGCGACGCCGCGUGAAGGAAGACGUACUUCGGUAUGUAAACUUCUAUCAGCAGGGAAGAAGAUGACGGUACCUGACUAAGAAGCCCCGGCUAACUACGUGCCAGCAGCCGCGGUAAUACGUAGGGGGCAAGCGUUAUCCGGAUUUACUGGGUGUAAAGGGAGCGUAGACGGUGAAGCAAGUCUGAUGUGAAAACCCGGGGCUCAACUCCGGGAUUGCAUUGGAAACUGUUUUACUUGAGUGCUGGAGGGGCAAGCGGAAUUCCUGGUGUAGCGGUGAAAUGCGUAGAUAUCAGGAAGAACACCGGUGGCGAAGGCGGCUUGCUGGACAGUAACUGACGUUGAGGCUCGAAAGCGUGGGGAGCAAACAGGAUUAGAUACCCGGGUAGCC